AGAUGAGUGUAACCUGUUUGCAACCCCUCGUCACCCACUGACUGCCAGGUUGACUCUGCUGACUCAGCUACCUAAGCUGAUGUUUUUUUUCUCCUCCCUCACUAUUCUGUGCAUGUCCCUUCCAAAGAUGCAUGCUUGGGAGGUUAAAGAGGACAGUCAUUUGUCAGGCAAGGAUACUGGAGUAGUCGUGCGCUCCUGCCAGAACCUUCAAACAAGUUCUCCAAAGAUAAGAGCCAGGCAAGAUGCUUCAUUCCUGCAAUCUCGACUGCCACAGGUUUGAGGC
This 283-nucleotide small nuclear RNA is filed under the name Rattus norvegicus (Norway rat). Its description in RNAcentral is "7SK RNA". It matches the Rfam family "7SK RNA". Rfam says of the family: 7SK was discovered as an abundant small nuclear RNA in the mid-70s but a possible function has only recently been suggested. Two independent studies have found that 7SK RNA binds the CDK9/cyclin T complex (known as elongation factor P-TEFb). The record is from Rfam by way of RNAcentral. Lineage: Eukaryota; Metazoa; Chordata; Mammalia; Rodentia; Muridae.